Molecule: ribosomal RNA, 597 nt
Filed under: Geoglossum glabrum
Lineage: Eukaryota; Fungi; Ascomycota; Geoglossomycetes; Geoglossales; Geoglossaceae
Description: LSU rRNA
Rfam family: Eukaryotic large subunit ribosomal RNA
Source: RNAcentral
GAACUUAAGCAUAUCAAUAAGCGGAGGAAAAGAAACCAACAGGGAUUGCUUCAGUAACGGCGAGUGAAGUGGCAACAGCUCAAAUUUGAAAUCUGGUUCUUCUGGGGCCCGAGUUGUAAUUUGUAGAGGAGUUCUUCGGGUUUGGCCCCGGCCUAAAUUCCUUGGAACAGGAUGUCAUAGAGGGUGAGAAUCCCGUAUGUGGCUGGAGGUCUAUACCCAUGUGAAGUUCCUUCGACGAGUCGAGUUGUUUGGGAAUGCAGCUCAAAAUGGGUGGUAAGUUUCAUCUAAAGCUAAAUACUGGCGGGAGACCGAUAGCGCACAAGUAGAGUGAUCGAAAGAUGAAAAGCACUUUGGAAAGAGAGUUAAAAAGUACGUGAAAUUGUUGAAAGGGAAGCGCUUGCGACCAGACUUGCCCUUAGUUGAUCAACCGGUGUUCUUCACCGGUGCACUCGGCUAAGGUCAGGCCAGCAUUGGUUUAGGCGGUUGGAAAAAGAUCAUAGGAAUGUGGCUNCCUUCUGGGGAGUGUUAUAGCCUGUGGUGUCAUGCAACCAGUUUAGACCGAGGACCGCGCCUUUGUGCUUAGGAUGCUGGCGUAAU